RNAcentral lists this ribosomal RNA (546 nucleotides) under Penicillium sp. FL-2010ac. RNAcentral's name for it is "eukaryotic LSU rRNA". The stretch from base 201 to 353 matches the Rfam family "5.8S ribosomal RNA". Lineage: Eukaryota; Fungi; Ascomycota; Eurotiomycetes; Eurotiales; Aspergillaceae. The record is from RNAcentral.
AGGUGAACCUGCGGAAGGAUCAUUACCGAGUGAGGGCCCUUUGGGUCCAACCUCCCACCCGUGUUUAUUUACCUCGUUGCUUCGGCGGGCCCGCCUUAACUGGCCGCCGGGGGGCUCACGCCCCCGGGCCCGCGCCCGCCGAAGACACCCCCGAACUNUGCCKGAAGAUCGUCGUAUGAGUGAAAAUAUAAAUUAUUUAAAACUUUCAACAACGGAUCUCUUGGUUCCGGCAUCGAUGAAGAACGCAGCGAAAUGCGAUACGUAAUGUGAAUUGCAAAUUCAGCGAAUCAUNGAGUCUUUGAACGCACAUUGCGCCCCCUGGUAUUCCGGGGGGCAUGCCUGUCCGAGCGUCAUUGCUGCCCUCAAGCCCGGCUGGUGUCUUGGGUCCCGUCCUCCGAUUCCGGGUGACGGGCCCGAAAGGCAGCGGCGGCACCGCGUCCGGUCCUCGAGCGUAAGGGGGUUUGUCACGCGCUAUGUAGGCCCGUCCGCCGCUGGCCGAUCAACCCAAAAAUUAUCCAGGUUACCUAGUAUCAUUACGCAGUCAUU